This 1984-nucleotide ribosomal RNA is filed under the name Staphylococcus aureus. Its description in RNAcentral is "bacterial LSU rRNA". It matches the Rfam family "Bacterial large subunit ribosomal RNA", at positions 3 to 1985 of the family's 2925-position model. Lineage: Bacteria; Bacillati; Bacillota; Bacilli; Caryophanales; Staphylococcaceae. The record is from RNAcentral.
UUAAGUUAUUAAGGGCGCACGGUGGAUGCCUUGGCACUAGAAGCCGAUGAAGGACGUUACUAACGACGAUAUGCUUUGGGGAGCUGUAAGUAAGCUUUGAUCCAGAGAUUUCCGAAUGGGGAAACCCAGCAUGAGUUAUGUCAUGUUAUCGAUAUGUGAAUACAUAGCAUAUCAGAAGGCACACCCGGAGAACUGAAACAUCUUAGUACCCGGAGGAAGAGAAAGAAAAUUCGAUUCCCUUAGUAGCGGCGAGCGAAACGGGAAGAGCCCAAACCAACAAGCUUGCUUGUUGGGGUUGUAGGACACUCUAUACGGAGUUACAAAGGACGACAUUAGACGAAUCAUCUGGAAAGAUGAAUCAAAGAAGGUAAUAAUCCUGUAGUCGAAAAUGUUGUCUCUCUUGAGUGGAUCCUGAGUACGACGGAGCACGUGAAAUUCCGUCGGAAUCUGGGAGGACCAUCUCCUAAGGCUAAAUACUCUCUAGUGACCGAUAGUGAACCAGUACCGUGAGGGAAAGGUGAAAAGCACCCCGGAAGGGGAGUGAAAUAGAACCUGAAACCGUGUGCUUACAAGUAGUCAGAGCCCGUUAAUGGGUGAUGGCGUGCCUUUUGUAGAAUGAACCGGCGAGUUACGAUUUGAUGCAAGGUUAAGCAGUAAAUGUGGAGCCGUAGCGAAAGCGAGUCUGAAUAGGGCGUUUAGUAUUUGGUCGUAGACCCGAAACCAGGUGAUCUACCCUUGGUCAGGUUGAAGUUCAGGUAACACUGAAUGGAGGACCGAACCGACUUACGUUGAAAAGUGAGCGGAUGAACUGAGGGUAGCGGAGAAAUUCCAAUCGAACCUGGAGAUAGCUGGUUCUCUCCGAAAUAGCUUUAGGGCUAGCCUCAAGUGAUGAUUAUUGGAGGUAGAGCACUGUUUGGACGAGGGGCCCCUCUCGGGUUACCGAAUUCAGACAAACUCCGAAUGCCAAUUAAUUUAACUUGGGAGUCAGAACAUGGGUGAUAAGGUCCGUGUUCGAAAGGGAAACAGCCCAGACCACCAGCUAAGGUCCCAAAAUAUAUGUUAAGUGGAAAAGGAUGUGGCGUUGCCCAGACAACUAGGAUGUUGGCUUAGAAGCAGCCAUCAUUUAAAGAGUGCGUAAUAGCUCACUAGUCGAGUGACACUGCGCCGAAAAUGUACCGGGGCUAAACAUAUUACCGAAGCUGUGGAUUGUCCUUUGGACAAUGGUAGGAGAGCGUUCUAAGGGCGUUGAAGCAUGAUCGUAAGGACAUGUGGAGCGCUUAGAAGUGAGAAUGCCGGUGUGAGUAGCGAAAGACGGGUGAGAAUCCCGUCCACCGAUUGACUAAGGUUUCCAGAGGAAGGCUCGUCCGCUCUGGGUUAGUCGGGUCCUAAGCUGAGGCCGACAGGCGUAGGCGAUGGAUAACAGGUUGAUAUUCCUGUACCACCUAUAAUCGUUUUAAUCGAUGGGGGGACGCAGUAGGAUAGGCGAAGCGUGCGAUUGGAUUGCACGUCUAAGCAGUAAGGCUGAGUAUUAGGCAAAUCCGGUACUCGUUAAGGCUGAGCUGUGAUGGGGAGAAGACAUUGUGUCUUCGAGUCGUUGAUUUCACACUGCCGAGAAAAGCCUCUAGAUAGAAAAUAGGUGCCCGUACCGCAAACCGACACAGGUAGUCAAGAUGAGAAUUCUAAGGUGAGCGAGCGAACUCUCGUUAAGGAACUCGGCAAAAUGACCCCGUAACUUCGGGAGAAGGGGUGCUCUUUAGGGUUAACGCCCAGAAGAGCCGCAGUGAAUAGGCCCAAGCGACUGUUUAUCAAAAACACAGGUCUCUGCUAAACCGUAAGGUGAUGUAUAGGGGCUGACGCCUGCCCGGUGCUGGAAGGUUAAGAGGAGUGGUUAGCUUCUGCGAAGCUACGAAUCGAAGCCCCAGUAAACGGCGGCCGUAACUAUAACGGUCCUAAGGUAGCGAAAUUCCUUGUCGGGUAAGUUCCG